Molecule: non-coding RNA, 25 nt
Filed under: Cricetulus griseus (Chinese hamster)
Lineage: Eukaryota; Metazoa; Chordata; Mammalia; Rodentia; Cricetidae
Also listed under: 1 other name
Source: RNAcentral
GAAUUGAACUCAGGACCUCUGGAAA